CACGAGAACCAUGUCGAGCCGCACAACGGCCGCGGUGCCAGCGAGGAGGCCGACGACCUCCACCCACCCAGGUUGCCGCUCCUCUGGGUGAUACAGCUUCUCGCGCCGUGGAGGUCUAGAAGGGCAACAUCUACGCACACGCAUGCCGACAUGCGAGGACAGGGGCUGCGCGCAUCUGCGUGCCUCACAGAGGUCAGCCACGCCAAUGCCACCCAGCUCCACAGCCCCCUGGGACUGCCAGUCUUCAUCUGCUCUUUGCUGCUGGUCCUGGUCAUGGACGAGCUAGGACACGCCCCAGCCAGGCUGCUCCUGCCGCUGGUGCUGGUCGUGGCCAUGCCACGGCGACACGCGCGGUCACCUCUGCCAAGCUGUUUUUUUUUUCCGUGGUGUGUUGCUUGCUGAAUCUUUUGCUAGCUAAAUGCUGAUAUGGACUACCGUUUUUUUUUGUCAAGACACAAUGCUACCAUUUUGUUUUAUGAAAAUAGGUAUUCUAGUGCAAACUUGUGUGAGUUUACUUCUUUUUAGACAAACAGUCAUGAUAAUUUUUCCCUUAUCCGGUCGAGUAAAUACAAAUGCCCUUGAUACAUUUUUGUUCAGAUGUAGAAGAUCAGAGGGGAUGAAGCAUAGUGUCUAAGUUGGCUUCUGAAAGUAGCUGAGUUGUUUUGAUAAUUAUGUCUAAGUUUGCUUCCGAAAGUAAUUGAGUUGUUUGAUAAUUAUGCCUAAGUUGGGCUUCUGAAAGCAAUUGAGUUGUUUUUAUAAUUAUGCAUAAGUUGGCUUCUGAAAAUAAUUGAGUUGUUUGAUAAUUAUGUCCAAUUUUGCUUCUGAAAGUGGCUGAGUUGUUUCGAUAAUUAUGUCUAAGUUCGUUUCUGAAAGUAAUUGAGUUGUUUGAUAAUUAUGCCUAAGUUGGCUUCUGAAAGCAAUUGAGUUAUAUUGAUACCAUGCUUAAGUUGGCUUCUCAAAGUAACUGAGUUGUUUUGAACUUUUGAUAAUUAUAGCUGCCGACGAUCCAAAGGGGAGCCGCAUGGUGGUUCAAGAUGCCUGCCGACGAGCGAGCCGCGCGGUAGUGUAGGGUGCCAGUCGACAGAGAGCGAGUCACGUGGAAGUUCGGCAAGAUCUGUGGCGGGAAAGAGACACGCGUGAGAGGACCGCGAACUCAUCGGCGGAGUGCGAGCCGUGCGCUAGUGCGGGGUGCUUGGUGACGAAGAUUCACCAUGGAGGCGCCUAAAUCGACUUUCCAAGGAGAGGAAAGAACUGGACGAUGCAAGAACAAGCAUCUGGGAAAAGAGGGACAAGGGUGGUGCUAUGGUGGAGGAUCGUCUGAUUUGGGGCGACAAGGAGUGAAUGAAGAUAGAGCUCAUGGCGUAAACCAAGACUGUCAUCCAUGGCGCUCAAUGGAUCUGCAGGCUUGCCGCCGCGGCAGCCGCCCAGCUCCAUGGAACAGAGGAGGCAGUACUUGCAAGCCGGCACCUGUGUACCAGUUAAUUAUGGUUUAUGCGUACAGAUGCCCAACUAGCUGGGAUCUUUUCGUUGAUCUGCUACAUACUGCUUAAAUCUGGAUGUGUUUUUCGUGCGGGGUGGUUUUUCACCGAAGCAUUAAAUAGUUACUUUGUGGUGUGCGGGUUUAA
This is a long non-coding RNA of Lolium rigidum, 1625 nucleotides long. RefSeq lists it as uncharacterized. The record is from RefSeq and is a predicted model, not a curated record. Lineage: Eukaryota; Viridiplantae; Streptophyta; Magnoliopsida; Poales; Poaceae. The transcript has 2 exons.